This 345-nucleotide ribosomal RNA is filed under the name Nematoda environmental sample. RNAcentral's name for it is "bacterial SSU rRNA". It matches the Rfam family "Eukaryotic small subunit ribosomal RNA", at positions 1300 to 1665 of the family's 1831-position model. The record is from RNAcentral. Lineage: Eukaryota; Metazoa; Nematoda.
CGUGGAGUGAUUUGUCUGGUUUAUUCCGAUAACGAGCGAGACUCUAACCUACUAAAUAGUUCGCCGAUUGUCAAACACUGUCGGCGUUAACUUCUUAGAGGGACAAGUGGCGUUUAGUCACACGAGAUUGAGCAAUAACAGGUCUGUGAUGCCCUUAGAUGUUCGGGGCCGCACGCGCGCUACACUGGCAAAAUCAACGUGCUUGUCCUUCCCCGAAAGGGGCGGGUAAACCAUUGAAAAUUUGCCGUGAUUGGGAUCGGAAAUUGCAAUUAUUUUCCGUGAACGAGGAAUUCCAAGUAAGUGCGAGUCAUCAGCUCGCGUUGAAUACGUCCCUGCCCUUUGUAC